AGGUUCCGAAUUUUUAGAACGAGAUAACUGCUUCUCAUCAAAACGAAACAUAUUUAUAAGUCGGACCACUUGGUUCUGGAAACUUCCACAAAGCAGCAUAUCUGCCUCGUCAAAAACCUAGAAACCACCAAAAUAACUUACUAAGACUGAAUUUUGGAUUGUCACUUUCUCAACGAUCAAAUUUAGCAAUUCAAAAAAUGUUACCACAUAUUUAACACUACGUAUAAACUCUGAACGUCUUCGCCUUUCUGGAUCUAUAGAGUAGAGAUAAUUUAAAAGUGCUGCCGGCGUCGACACCAUUACAUCUGGUUCUUUUACAGGCCAGACCUGCAUUAAACUUCUCAUUUGUUAGAGACAUUACAAGUUUAUGAGGAAAAGCAGCAUAAACAUCCAUAGCAACAUCAUCAUGCAAAAAGAACUUUGAUCGACAGCAAGAAAGAAUGUGUGUUCUUGGGUAAAACAAGGAUUAACAAUGACAAUGAGAAUGCUCACCUGUCGACCACAAACAGCUGCAACCCCGAGAAGUGGUUUACCACUAUCAUUACAAAGACUAUUAGCCAUUCGAACCACUUGCUCGCAUAACAUAACAUUGGGGCAAAGAACAAGAGAAAGACGAUGGUGCUUCCUGACAUCCUGAUCAGCAAUAGCCCCUGAAUUAUCAGACAAUUGGCAUAGCUUAUCAAUCAACGGCACUAGGUAACCAUGAGUCUUGCCGCUACCAGUCUCUGCAGCAACCACCACAUCAGCACCUGAAAGUAUACUUGGAAUACAAGUCGCCUGAAUUUGAGAUUAUAUAUCAUUACUAUAGGAUUUAAGACUAUGACCUAUAAUUGAAGGAUAUACUCAGAUGAUAAACCAAAGUAACAUAUAUCAUUACUAUAAGAUUUAACACUGAAUAUAGCUGAAAAGAUAUACUCGGAUGAUAAACCAAAGUGACUUAUAUCAUGAUGAUAUAUGCUAUAAAUUCCACAUGGUGAAUAUUCUGCAAGAAGUUGAAAAUUUGCGUCACCAAGGGAGAAAAGUGGGGAAAGGGUAAGUGUUGACUCCAGGGAAAGGGGUUUGCGGUUGGGUUUACUAUAUCACAAAAAGAUAUUCAUGUGAUACUGACUUAUGCAAAGAGAUGAAAUGUGUCUCCAAGAAAAAAGAAAUGAAACUUUAUACUAGCAACGAAUUUGUAUCUUUAUAUGACACAAAUUUUGGAUCCCACAAGAAAGAAGGCAUACAGGGUAUUGUCUAGCAAUAUGAAUUGUGAUACAGUCAGAAGUCAAGUGUUAAAAUAUGCGUCAGCUUCAUCUAGCUCCUUGGCUUUUGCAGCUGAAUAGUUGAAUCAUUUAAAUGAGAUACUUGAUGUUUAUAGAGUUUAUACUUGAUUUUCCAUCAGCCAAACCAAUACAUUGACCUCUCUGUGAAACUUCCACGCAUACUACCAGGCCAACCACAUUUACCUCUACCCACAGAACGAUAAGUCUAGAGUGAUAGUGAAAAGAUAUUUGACACUCUAUGAGAAAAUAUUUGUUUCUAAUACUGAAAAUUAGUCAUAUCCACGUACUCCCAGGCAUUCCACCCAGCGAAAAAGCCAAUUCCACUCAUUCGGGUUUUCUAAAAUGACAGGUUGACAGUAGCACAUUGCCACGGGAUCGUUCCUCAUAAAAAGUUGUAUCUUCCCACGGAUUACCCUUAUUAGGCCGUGAGUUCUACUAAUUGAAUACAGUUAUACUUAAUCCAACUACGGUAGAUACUUUUGCAAGGAAAGAGAUAAGAAAAGCUGGCUGAACUUCGGUCUACCAAAUAAGCCAACUGAACAAAGCUAGUCCCGUAAGCUACCAAAUAAGCCAACUGAACAAAGCUAGUCCCGUAAGUGAAAAUACUUAUCAAAGAGACGUGUGUAAAAAUCUCAGGAUGACAGAAGAUAACUGAUUAGGUCUGCAUGUAUUAAUGCACAUGUAAUUCCACUUCCCUCUUAAUACAUAUGUUGCAAAGUCCACAAUUAACAUCAUAUUCAACCUUAAUACCCUGUUUGGUUCAGAUUAUGAUACUGCAUUUGAUUAUUUAUAUAAGUAAUUCGGAUUGUGAAAGUGAUUUUGAUCGUCAGUAUAAGUGAUUCUUAGAUAACUUGGUUAUUAUUACUCAUUCACUGAAACAACUGUUGGUUAUUUGCUAAAAGUUUAAUUUUUUUGGUGCACCAGUCCAACAAAAACUUCACCUAUUGUGAGCUUCCAAAAGCAGACCUGGUUCAAGCUUAGAUAAAGGAGAAGUGUUGCAAUCGGUUGAUGGGUCAUAAUAGUCUAACAAUAACAAUCCUUUGAAUACUUCGACCUGAAUAGAGCAAAUUGUUUAUCGCCACCGGGGCUUUAGUCUACUGAUAAGAACCACUGCGUGAUGUGUGGAUUAGGCACACAUUACGGGUUUGAAUCCUACUACAGACAAAAGCAUCGUACUUAAGUAGAGAAUGGCAGAGGGGUGGCUCCAUUAUCCACCAAGUUUCGAACCGUUUGCCACUAGCCCUUAAGUAUUUCUCGGUUAUUCAAAAAGUUACUUAUAAGGCCCCACUUAAUAAAAAAUAGGCACUUACCAUAGGAAAUGAUUUUGUCCAAAAAAUGAUGGAAUAAUGUAAGAAAAUUCAAACCAAACAGAACUUAAGAACAGAGUAGUACAUAGUCCGUAUGCAACAUAUUAGAUAGUAUCACCAUAACACAGUUUAAGGAAUUCAUAUUUAAUCAAAGAAACAAAAAAAGAUUCAACUUUUAGUCAUAAUUUUCCUAUAGAGAGCAAAGUUUGACCAGGAAAAGAAUAGAAUACCUGAUUUAAAGAGGUAUUAGACACUUAUCAUAAGUUAGAAAAUUCAUACUUAACAAAAGAAUUCAACUUUCAGUAAUAAUUCACCUAUAUUAGGCAAAAUUUAAGAGCAAAAAAAUGGAAAACCUGAAUUAAAGAGGGUCUAUGAAGGCCAAUACUGGAUAGAGCACGACAUAAUGAAUCUGAAACACCCAAAGAGGUCCAAGAAACACUUUCUUCAGCAAAAAAAGUCUCAUUUUGAUUCGUAUCAGCAACUUUGGCUGCUGAAACAGCAGACCCAAAUGCUCUGAUUCGACAACACUGUGGUUGGCAAGUAUAAGUAGCAGCAGAGGGUCGGAACAAGAAGCGGUUUGGUGUAGAUGACAGCCUCCAUAGUUUACAGAUGGAAAUUGAGUGCUGUAAAAUCAUCAGCUUUUACUCCUUUUUGCUAAAAUGGAGUUAGGUUAUGGUUAAAGGUAGCAAUUUAGAGGAAUUGGGGUUGCUUUUGUGGGGGUUUUGAAGGGUUUAAGGUACACUAAUUAAUCCUGAGCAGCAGUGGGGAAGAUAAGAUUUGUAGAGGGUAAGGGUAGUCUCUCCCAUUUGGUGGAAUAUCAGGUCAGCCCUUGUAGUUUUUCAUAUUUCCAUUCGGACAAAAUUAGUAGGAGUACUAGGGCUCUUGAAAACCAAACCGAAGAAUGAGGUUANNNNNNNNNNNNNNNNNNNNNNNNNNNNNNNNNNNNNNNNNNNNNNNNNNNNNNNNNNNNNNNNNNNNNNNNNNNNNNNNNNNNNNNNNNNNNNNNNNNNNNNNNNNNNNNNNNAAUUAAAGGAGGGUCUAUAGAAGGCCCCCAAUACCUGGAUAGAGCACGACAUAAUGAAUCUGAAACCACCCCCAAAGAGGUCCCAAGAAACACUUUCUUCAGCAAAAAAAGUCUCAUUUUGAUUCGUAUCAGCAACUUUGGCUGCUGAAACAGCAGACCCAAAUGCUCUGAUUCGACAACACUGUGGUUGGCCAAGUAUAAGUAGCAGCAGAGGGUCGGAACAAGAAGCGGUUGGUGUAGAUGACCAGCCCUCCCAUAGUUUACCAGAUGGAAAUUUGAGUGCUGUAAAAUCAUCAGCUUUUACUCCUUUUGCUAAAAUGGAGUAGGUUAUGGUUAAAGGUAGCAAUUUAGAGGAAUUGGGGUUGCUUUUGUGGGGGUUUUGAAGGGUUUAAGGUACACUAAUUAAUCCUGAGCAGCAGUGGGGAAGAUAAGAUUUGUAGAGGGUAAGGGUAGUCUCUCCCAUUUGGUGGAAUAUCAGGUCAGCCCUUGUAGUUUUUCAUAUUUCCAUUCGGACAAAAUUAGUAGGAGUACUAGGGCUCUUGAAAACCAAACCGAAGAAUGAGGGUUAGGGAAAGCCACAAAACACCCAAUAUGACUUAGCUCUUUAUUCACAUUCCCAAGUCUCAUAUUUGAC
This 4227-nucleotide long non-coding RNA is filed under the name Nicotiana tabacum (common tobacco). Its description in RNAcentral is "long non-coding RNA (NTAB_LNC000742)". Lineage: Eukaryota; Viridiplantae; Streptophyta; Magnoliopsida; Solanales; Solanaceae. The record is from RNAcentral.